Molecule: ribosomal RNA, 497 nt
Filed under: uncultured bacterium
Lineage: Bacteria
Description: partial 16S ribosomal RNA
Rfam family: Bacterial small subunit ribosomal RNA
Source: RNAcentral
GAUGAACGCUGGCGGCGUGCCUAAUACAUGCAAGUCGAGCGAACAGACGAGGAGCUUGCUCCUUUGACGUUAGCGGCGGACGGGUGAGUAACACGUGGGUAACCUACCUAUAAGACUGGGAUAACUUCGGGAAACCGGAGCUAAUACCGGAUAAUAUUUCGAACCGCAUGGUUCGAUAGUGAAAGAUGGCUCUGCUAUCACUUAUAGAUGGACCUGCGCCGUAUUAGCUAGUUGGUAAGGUAACGGCUUACCAAGGCAACGAUACGUAGCCGACCUGAGAGGGUGAUCGGCCACACUGGAACGGAGACACGGUCCAGACUCCUACGGGAGGCAGCAGUAGGGAACCGUCCGCAAUGGGCGAAAGCCUGACGGAGCAACGCCGCGUGAGUGAUGAAGGUCUUCGGAGCGUAAAACUCUGUUAUUAGGGAAGAACAAACGUGUAAGUAACUGUGCACGUCUUGACGGUACCUAAUCAGAAAGCCACGGCUAACUACGUG